This 386-nucleotide unclassified non-coding RNA is filed under the name Hevea brasiliensis (rubber tree). Lineage: Eukaryota; Viridiplantae; Streptophyta; Magnoliopsida; Malpighiales; Euphorbiaceae. The record is from RNAcentral.
AAGUAUGAAAGCCUUCAAACAAAACCAUCCUCCGGUGGAAUAUAGAGAGUUGUCCAAAAGGGUAGAAACUUAUUGUAAAGGUGUUCCACUAGCUCUCAAGGUUUUGGGUUCCUAUUUGUGCGGAAGGACUUCUAAAGAAUGGGAAAGUGCAUUGAAUAAACUGAAGGUAUCUCCUGACUACAACAUUCUGAAAGUCUUAAAAGUAAGUUAUAAUGCUUUAGAUCGAAUGGAAAAAAGCAUAUUUCUAGAUAUUGCAUGUUUCUUCAAAGGAUAUUACAAAAGCUGGGUAAAAGAUUUAUUAGACGAUUGGGCAAUAAUUCGUCUAAUGGAUCAGUGUCUCAUAACUAUUGUGCAUGGCAAGCUAGAGAUGCACGAUUUGAUAGUGG